AACGAACGCUGGCGGCAGGCUUAACACAUGCAAGUCGAGCGAGACCUUCGGGUCUAGCGGCGGACGGGUGAGUAACGCGUGGGAACGUGCCCUUCUCUACGGAAUAGCCCCGGGAAACUGGGAGUAAUACCGUAUACGCCCUUUGGGGGAAAGAUUUAUCGGAGAAGGAUCGGCCCGCGUUGGAUUAGGUAGUUGGUGGGGUAAUGGCCCACCAAGCCGACGAUCCAUAGCUGGUUUGAGAGGAUGAUCAGCCACACUGGGACUGAGACACGGCCCAGACUCCUACGGGUGGCAGCAGUGGGGAAUCUUAGACAAUGGGGGCAACCCUGAUCUAGCCAUGCCGCGUGAGUGAUGAAGGCCUUAGGGUUGUAAAGCUCUUUCAGCUGGGAAGAUAAUGACGGUACCAGCAGAAGAAGCCCCGGCUAACUCCGUG
This 433-nucleotide ribosomal RNA is filed under the name uncultured bacterium. RNAcentral's name for it is "partial 16S ribosomal RNA". It matches the Rfam family "Bacterial small subunit ribosomal RNA", at positions 29 to 507 of the family's 1533-position model. The record is from RNAcentral.